Molecule: long non-coding RNA, 4733 nt
Organism: Aquila chrysaetos chrysaetos
Lineage: Eukaryota; Metazoa; Chordata; Aves; Accipitriformes; Accipitridae
Exons: 2
Source: RefSeq, a predicted model, not a curated record
CCGGGGCCGGGGCCGGGGCGAGGCCGAGCAGAGGCCGCGGCUGACCCGUCACAGCCCUGCCCUCCCCGCGGUCCGUUUCGCUGCUGCUCAUCGGCGCGAACGGUGGGCGUACGUUCUGUCACGUCGUUCCUUUCGGGUGUCUUUGACACGGUACGGGAAACGGCGGAGGCUAUCUCGUCCGACAGAUCGAACCGGUACGCGAUUUCCUACGUGUGGUGUUGCCGAUCUUCAGCUGGAGCUCAGUCCUUGAACUGGGUCCUUUAUGAUGGGCCUCAACUGCUAAGUUGGCUCAUCGCAAAUAAUAACGCGAUGCCGUAGCCGUAAAUCGUGAAAAUUAUGAGGCGUGUGAAACCAAAGCCAAGCCAGCGUCACGCACGGGGUUUGUGGGGUGAAGAAGAGCUUUCCUGUCAGAGAAAGGCAGGCUGCGCGCUGUGGAAAGUACACCUCCGCGAGUCUCCAAAGGAUGGAGGUCGUUGCUGUUACCAGUCUCUGUUAGCGGGUGUGAGGACACGGCUACAGAGUGUGAGAACAUGAAGCAUCAUGACUGCACUCAGCAGAAGCCACAAGGACUAAAGGGCCCGAGGAAAAUUUGUCCUCAUCCCACUUUGCCACAGCAAGGUCUCGCUGUGAUGAGGGAGAAGUUGGAGCCGUGGCGCAGCCUGCUUCACCUGUACUAGCUACUACUACUUGACCUCUUCUGAAGAGAGUUAAAUUUUGACAGUACAGCCGCUACAUGGCUUUAGAGACAGGAAUCUGGACCCAGAGAAAUGAAGGCUGAAACCCCCAACAUGCUCUGUUUUGCACUGGAGUUCCCAGGCCUGAGCUGGGAGCUCAGCCUUUACACUACAAGGAAAUGCGUGGAGAAAGGUAUUUACAGAAACUGAGCGGGAGCCAUCCUGGCAACACAGCGGAGCAUCCCAGGAGACGGCACUGUGCCUGAACCUAAUGCUGCUCAGAAAGGAGCUGACUUCUUUUGCCAAGAGCUGUCAGCUGUGAACUCUCCCCAGGAGUCUGGCACCUUUGCCAGGCCAUGUCUGGCUUUCCAAUGGAAAUGUUACACAGAUAACACUCCCUUGUCUCGCAUGCUCCAGUUUGGCCACUAGCCAAAUGCUUAGAGCCCUCUACUAGAAAGCUGAGGGCUAUUUUCAAAGUUGCAGUGUCAUUCAAAACAUAGAGUUCAAAGCAUGUGUCUGUAGCAUAAGCAACUAGAAAAUUGGGGUUUCUAAGGUGAGCCUCUUUCAGCUUUUUACCUUGGCAGAUACUCUGUGUAAAUGACUACUUAUAACUGAAGGGUCUUAUAUCUGAGUCACCACUGAAUGCCCUAACUAGUGUGAUGGGAAUGAAAAACUUUUUAUAAGUUUCCACUGUCCUUUCUGGGGGCCAUGAUAUGGUCUAGACACCUGCUGGAUUCGCUCCUGUAGAUGAGAAGGGGAGGUUGAUUCCUAAUUUGAGAGUGUUGCUUGGAUAUAAGCAGGAAUGAAGGUCCAGUCAGCUCUGCAGACACAGAACUGGAUUUUAAAAAACAGUGGGUAAAACCUUUUUUUAACAUCAAAGCAUUUCACUUUCAAAACAUUUCUGUUUGAAAGAACUUUUUAUUUUGAGGUUCCUUCAUGUAUAUAUAAAAGAGACUUAACUUUUAGCUAAAAAUCUAUAUAUGCCACUUCACUUGGGGUCGAGGUAUUCUUUCUAUAGUUUGAAAUUAUUGGGGUUUAUACAUUUUAGUUUACUGAUUCUGUUAGAAUGUUCUUCUAGGGAAAUGAAGUUCCAGGCUGGGCCAAAACAGUCAGCUAACCAAUGAUCCAUCCAUCUCUAUUCACAGAGAGAUACUUGGUGUCUCUGGCUGUAUCCAGCAUAAGUGCAAGUAGGAGGAGCAGAGCAAGUAAGGACGUGAAUGAGAUACUCCGCCAAAAUGCCUAUCGGAGAGUUGGUUUCUGCUACAGAUUUGCCAUCUUUCUGAAGGGAAGUUGAGAAUUUUAUCAGCACCAUUUAAGUCUCUUCCUGCAUCUAAAACAGACCAGGUGAACUGCACUCUGAAAGUGCCUAUUGUGCUGCAUAGAGAAAAAGGCAGCCUAAGUAAUGAGUGUGGGCUCAUGCUGUGACAGUAUAAAGCCAGGUCAGAUGAAUCCCACCUGCACUGUACUGUGUUCCAGACAGGGAAGGCAGAAUUGCUUAAAAAGAAUAAAACAAAUCUGGAAUUGAGGUUUUACAAAACAUGCUAGUAUGGAAUUGGAGCUGUUUUCUGUAACAAAUAGCUCCUGUUUGGGGUGGACUGUGAUUCCACCUGUCUGACAAUCCCUGAUUAUAAGGUCUAAUUCUUACCCAGCUGGAACGCUUUUUACCCAGCUCUGUGGGGGGAGUGCUGACUUCCAUUACGGUAACAAUAAACUCCCAGAGCACCUAAAGAGAGGUGGACUUCAUAGAUUUUAUUCUUAGAAUAUCAAGGAUAAAUCUUGAAUCCAUUGAAGUAAAUUAAAAACUCAUGCCAACUUCUGCUGGGCUAGGGUUUAUCCCUAGGUCUCAAAUGAACAGGGGAAAAAGAGAUUUUUGCAGACUGUGUAUCUACCUGUCAAACUCUGUUUCUUGUUUAAUUCUGAUUUUAUACUGCAGAGAUCAAGAAGCUCCAAGAAGCUUUCAGGCUUUCAGUCAGAAUGAGGCUAUUGAAAAACAUGACCUUUUAUUCAAAAGCCACUACCUGCAGUGGCUGUUGACUGCCACUGUGAAUACUGACCUCACAGCAGAGUACUCGACAUCACUGAACAGCACAGUGUUGUGUUCCCUACAGUCAUGUAGAGAAUAUAUUUACAUUCCUAUUGCCCAGUAGGGGAAAUUGCCAUCUCUCAGGGCUUACAGCACCCCCAAAGAAAGACCUUCUACUUUUAGUAACACCUGAGGCACGGGGUAUAUCUGUUCACAUUUGUACACACUAGAAUUCGCAGUAGCAUCAUAUACGGCCAUGUUCACCAUAAAACUUGCUAGCUUUGCAUUUGCAGUGCAUACUCAGACUGCUGCAUCAAAUUGAGAUGCCCUUUUAAGUCAUUCUCAUCAUUCCCAAGACCCCACAUAAGUAUUUUAAAAUUGCUCUGCAAAUAAACCUAAAGACAGAAAAUUACAGCCUGAGAUACCAAAUUAGUGAAUUGACUCAUUAGAAGACAAGUACUAGGUUCAUUCCAAGAAACCACAGCAGCUCAGCUAAAAUAAUCUGUCUGAAAUAUACUUCCAUAAGAAUCUUCAUUGAGUCUAUUAAUUAGACUUACCGAUGUUCACGCUAGUAGGGCUUUCAAGUCAAUAACAAUCUACCACUAAGUAUGGAUCCAUAGUGCGAAUAAAAUCAAAACCGGGGCCUUCUUUUGAGAGAAUCAGGGUUUAGUGCUUAAAGAGUCCAUUAAAGCAAUUAUGCCAUAGCUGCAUUAAAAGUGCAACCUUGCUUCUGAGGAUCCUUCAGCAAAUAAUGGUUGUCCCUGCCGUAGCUCCUCCAACGGCAGUUUGUGUCUGUCAGAAAGGGCUGACCUUCUUCUAAAAAACCAUAACAAAACCCAACAGCUUUUUGCAUUUAUCUAGUGCUAAUGUCUUUAUCAAUUUGGCAGUAGGAGAAUGUGUAUUAUUCACAUUUUAAAGCUGGGAAAAAUGACAGAAAAAUUAUGGUUCAGCCCAUGAUUCACAUUCAGAUCAGUGUAAGAACAGAAGUUCAGGACUUGACUAAUGUUUUUUUGCAAGAGUUCUUGAUUCUUUAUGGGCCUUUAAAAUCAGAGAUUUAAAAGUUCUUUCAACAAAACCAUGAAAAUAGUAGGAAUUAUAUAACGUGUAUAGUGACAGGUUCUAGACCGGCACAACUAUCUCUGUAGCCAUGUAGUAAAACAGAAGUGAGCUGGCUGAAAAAAAAAGCUAUUUUUUAAAUGAGGAUACUUUUCAUUCUCCAGUACAACUCAGCAGGCUCAAACAACUGAAGGUGUGUGCAGGCACGGGAACAAAGUGGGACAGGGAUGGGAGGAGGGAAGGAUGAUGUCUGUUUAAGCCACGAUUGCUGAUGAAAAAAAAAUGCAUGUUACACUAUUGCCUUAAUAUGCUGGGGUGCAGCUUCCAUUGAGAAGUACAUGUUGGAGCAGGUCCUGAAGCACAGGGUGUAACCAAAAUUUUACCCAAGAAUAACAACCAGCGGUCCCAAUCUAGGUCCCCAGUGUGCUCCUGCGUGUCAUCAGGGUGAAAGUACACCCAAGGGUCAGCCUUCAAAUGACAUGUGAUUUCUGGGUGUCAUAAUAAGGCAAUUCUGAAACAUCUUUGGAAAAGAUUAGUCAAAACAUUUCUUCGAAGGCACUUCUACUUUGACCCAAUUUGUGUGCAUACUGAAAUGCAGAAAUUACUCUUUAAAUCUGGUUUUCACUUCUGUUCAGUGGUUCAGCUGUAAACUGGACUAUGGUUAAAUUAGAAAGGAAAUGCUUAUAUCACCAGAAGCUAUGGGUAAAAAUCAGGACAUAAUCUAAUGAGUCUUUUGCAUUCCUAAUUUCUGUGGUGCACUAAAAAAGAACAACCAAGGAUGCAAAUGAAUGAAAAGAGGCAUAUCAUGAAUGAUCAUGCUUCCAUUGUUUCCUUUGUCUAGUAAGAAAAAUACCAAGGCGCAGAAAAAGUUUACCUGUUUGAUUAUACAUACAAACAAAAACAGUUCAAUUGUCAGCCUGUGUGUAGUGAAGCUAGUAUUGACCUCAGAGCUAUAUAAAUAAAAUGUGCAAAUUGCUUUA